Long non-coding RNA from Asparagus officinalis (garden asparagus), 1210 nucleotides. RefSeq lists it as uncharacterized. The record is from RefSeq and is a predicted model, not a curated record. The transcript has 2 exons. Lineage: Eukaryota; Viridiplantae; Streptophyta; Magnoliopsida; Asparagales; Asparagaceae.
ACUCCUGACAACCCCAUUAACUUCUCCUCUCCCCAAAAGCCAUUAACUUUCCCAAACCCAAUUCAUUGACUUCCCCAUUAACUUCCCCCCAUACUUCCCCUACUCAUCAUCCCACCCCAUGCCGAAGUUCUCAUUACACAUUAACUCUUCUCUAACCCAAAGCUAGGAAUGACUCCAACACCAAGACCAUACCUCUGCAGUUCCAACGAGAGAAGCACCGUCCCGCAACUCCAACAAUCUCCCAUUCAUCAACUGAGGAACAGAACUCAUCCAUUCAGCCCCAUGGCUUCAAAACGCAGAAAAAGUAAUGACGCAACAACCUCCAACUCACCGACAGCAUUACAACACCGGUCUACAAGGGGUACCCCUACAACAACCGGCUCCACACACUUCGCUCCAUGGUGCAUCCACAUCUAGUGCGUCCCCCAAUUGGAUCAACAGGUUCAACAUGUUGGAGCGGGGGCAACAACAAUUGAAAGAGUCUGUCCACUCAUUACGACAAGAUAUGGGCACACAAUUCACUGUCAUUAACGUGUGUCUGGAUGGUUUUGGCACUACACUAGGGACGAUGAACCAUUUGAUACAAGAUUUGCACCACUUUUUUCUACCUCAUCCUUAUGCACCUCCACCGCCACCUCAAUGAGCGGAAUUACUGGAGCUUAGCAUGGAUUCAGAGUGAAAAAGGAAUCAAUGAAUGCAAGGAAAGAAGGCUACACGGUCACCCCAGUGUUCAACAACACAGGCGUGUUGAUUACAGAAGAAAAGCCCAGAAAGCAGAGCGAAAUAGAGAUAGACACGGCCUGGCCGUGUCGAUCUACACAGUCGUGUCCGAUAUCGGUAUUCAGUUAUCACGCGAUCUGAAGCAAGAUUUGGAGUUAUCUUUCAACACAUGUUUCCCAGAUUUAAAAGGGAGACGUCCUGAAGCAUCGAAAAAAAAGCAGAGGCUGGAGAUCUGGAUUUUUCUUUCUUCUCUCUAAAAACUCUUAGAUUAAGUUUUCUUUUGAUUUGGAACCUGCUGUUUGUGGAGAAUUGUGUGCAACUUCAACACUACGGUUUAUCUUUCUGAUCUAUCUCAGUUUCCAGUUUGUGAUUAUGAUCUUAUAUAUUGUUAUCAUGUUUUCUAUUUCAAUUAUGUGUGAGUAAUUGUCUUAUCUGGGAUUGAACUAGGUUCGGCCAUGGUUAUGAAUUAAUGAACUGAUUGUUGUUGUUA